Long non-coding RNA from Magnolia sinica, 1149 nucleotides. RefSeq lists it as uncharacterized. The transcript is spliced from 4 exons. Lineage: Eukaryota; Viridiplantae; Streptophyta; Magnoliopsida; Magnoliales; Magnoliaceae. The record is from RefSeq and is a predicted model, not a curated record.
CUUCUUGUAGCCAUCCUAGGUCCCAGUUCUUCAGAAUGUUUACUGGAAGGACCUCAACUUUCUUGUCUUUGCCUGGAUUGCAUUCCUUGCACUACAGAUUGCCAAGCAGCCUUGAUAAAGUGAACCCCUCAUCUUUCAUUGUUCCGUACCUUAAAUCCGGUUUGGAUGGUGAGUACUCAAAUAUGCUGCUGUGUAAUUGUUUAAGGCAUUAAAAUGAAAUCUUUUAUUCUUCCACCUCUAAAAAAAAAAAAAACUUUUAUUCUUCCCAUGAUUGGCAUGGGAAUUGCUUAUCUACUAUUCCCAUGUUUAAUUAACACGAUGCUAUUGUUUGUCAGAUGUAGUCUUAAAGUUUAUCAUCCUAAAUGUGUGGGCAAGGAUUCCACAUUCUUGGAGAUGGGCAAUCAAUGGACUUGUAAUAAUCAACUAUUGGAUCGGCUUUUUGUGUUGCAUUGACAGGGCCACUAGAAGCUAAGCUAACAGUCAGGUACGAGAAUCUCCCUAUUGCAUUACUAGUAACUCACAGACAAAGGCAAUAAUGAGGCAUCCUGUAUCAAAAAGAUCUUUAAAUAAUUUAAAUGUUUUAAACCAAUAGAAGGUUUAAUCUCUGUACUUGUUUUUAAAUACCUGAAUUGUACAAGUCAAGAAUGCUGGAGCUAUAUGCAAGCGAUGAUCGUGGGAUCAAUUUAGUCUGCAAUAAGAUCAAGGAUUUUGCAGCUGUAGCUAUAGGUUCUGGUAACCGCCAUGGGGGUUACCCUUGUCUGCCGUUCAAGAUCAUUAUCCUAAAUGAGGUUGAUUCAAUGACUGAAGAUGCUUAGGUACUUGUAGACCGUACCCAUUAUCAGUCCUUGAAUCUGGACCAUUGAACAAUCUCCUAGGUUGAUAUUUUUAACCUUAUAAUUAUUGAACUAUCUUCUAUUGAAUCUGUACCGUUGCUGUUUUUUCUCAUUAACCAUCUAUUUGUAGUCCAAUGAAUAAAAAAGUUAGGAACUUCCAUUUAAGGAUUUGCAUAGUGUUCUCAAGUUGUCAGUUUAUACAGGUGGAGCCCAUGGUCCCGUGAUCUGAGCCGUUGGUUUGAUGGCUUGCUAUUAUGGAUCAUGACCUAUGAAAUCUCCUCAAUACGAUGAUUCAGAUGUUUCACUUUCUAGGCUG